AGGGCAACCUGGCAGCAGGAUUACCCAAAUGUAAUAACUGAAACAGUGAAACACGAAGAACAUCAUUGUGUGCUAAUACAACACUUAUGCAAAAGAUGUUCUCAUAUUCUUCCCACUACUCUCGUGACUCGUCUCAUGGAUACAAAGAGGGAAGCCCCUGACAAGGAGAUAAAGUCAACUGUCUCACCAACAGACCAGACAGUAUUCACCCAAAUACCCCAUUGAUGAAGAAAAGAUACUAUAUUUAGGAAGAAGAAUGUAGAAGAUGGAGAGAUUUUUUUUCGCUAGAUGCCCCCGUACACCUGCCAGCCAUCAAGCACCCCAUCAGACUUGUGCUCAUUUAUUCUCCUGUGGUGUGGAGUUUUAAGAUCCGUUAGGCUGAGACAUCUAGAGGAGGUAUCAAGGAUUUUGUGUUCUGACAAUGAGAGCAUUUUCCCUAGACUUUCUCCUGGGUGAAGGGGCAAGCUACCCACAUCAAUGUCAGGAAUUGCAAUGCCCUUCCCCCUGCAACUGCAUGCAACAUGGACUCAUGAGCCAUAAGCCCACAUUCAGGAUGCCCAAUGCAAUGAUGCUCCCUUCUCUGAAGGGCUGCACCUACAUAUGUCCUGACCUGCCCUGACAGCCUCCCUCAGGAUGGGAAUACCCAUCAUCCACUACCAGAAGCACCCAAAUAACUAGUCAAACUCAAAUCACCUGGGCAGAAAUCAGAGCAUUAUCCAAUGGUGGCAAAGAUAGUAAGAAUCUUGACCUGAAACUCUGAAUUCAGGACUUACCUGCUCCUACAGUCCUGUUUCUUGCAAGUCCCCUCCUAGCCAUUCCUCCAUGCCCCUCUUUCUGGAAGAGCACCCAAGCAUACAGUCCUCCCUCUCCAUGCAUGGAUCAAACACGGAUCAGAAGUUUGCCAAAUGAUACAGGGCUGUCAGGGAUCAGAACACUGUGGCUAGUGGUGUUUUUCUUUUAACCCUAAACCCCAUCCCAUACAUACUGAUAAUGUUAUCAAGCUGGGCAAGCAAUGGGGAGUACCUCUGAACAUGAGCCCUGCCUCGGGUCCACAGGGUGGCCACAGUUUCUCUCAUCCUCCUAUCCACCCAACCCGGUAUCAUCUCUCUGAACUCCUGCCUCUUCCAGAGUCCUAGUAAAGAGACAACCGGCAUGGUCCCUCCCCUCUAGGAUAAGCAUGCCCAUUUCCCUUACCAGUACAAUCAGAUGCCUGAGUCACUAAUAAAACUCAUGUCACCUCAGGGUUUUAUCACUCUGCAUCACCAGGCUUGCCACUGAAAAGAAAGAUGCUGUAAACUGUGGUAUG
This is a long non-coding RNA of Protopterus annectens (West African lungfish), 1306 nucleotides long. RefSeq lists it as uncharacterized. NCBI's taxonomy places the organism in Eukaryota, Metazoa, Chordata, Ceratodontiformes, Protopteridae. The record is from RefSeq and is a predicted model, not a curated record. The transcript is spliced from 2 exons.